AGGUUGGUUUCUUUUUUACCUCAACAGGAUUGCGGGUGACUCGUUUAGAAAGGAAGCCAAAUGAUACUGACAAGUUGCUUGCCAAUUUGACAGAUUUUUGACAAAUUGACAAGGGCUGCAGUAGUUUCUUUCCUGAUAUGCCGAACAAGCUAAAAGUUACAACAGUAUUUUCGAAACAUCCGGAUGUUUCGCAAAAUAUUUCAAAAUCGUCUUCUGCUGACUGAGGCGAGCUUAUUUUUCUUUCAAGUUGGUUGUUCUGUCAACAGGAUUGCGGGUUAAUCGUUUAGAAAGGAAGCCAAAUGAUACCGACAAGUUGCUUGCCAAUUUGACGGAUUUUUACAAAUUAACAUACGGAUGACAAAUUGACAAAAGGGAUAAGAAGGCUGCCGUAGUUCCUUUCCUGAUAUGCCGAACAAGCUAAUGGUUACA
Paramacrobiotus metropolitanus is the source of this 429-nucleotide long non-coding RNA. RefSeq lists it as uncharacterized. NCBI's taxonomy places the organism in Eukaryota, Metazoa, Tardigrada, Eutardigrada, Parachela, Macrobiotidae. The record is from RefSeq and is a predicted model, not a curated record. The transcript is spliced from 3 exons.